CUAUCCAACUUCUCCAGUUCAAACCAUUGUUUCUGCUUUAGAUUUCAUUAAUGGCCUAUGUGGUCCCACUCUUGUGCCUUUUGGAUUCAUGCUCCAUGAAACUUCACACCCAUUAAACUUUCUUUGUCUUUUUGGCCAAAUGUGUUGUCAUCUUUAUCUCUAUGUACAGUAUUCCAAGACCACAAGGUGGUUUUGUGGUUGCAGCCUUCCUUAUGUCUACAGAAAACAGCUUUCACCUUAUCAUUUGCCAGCACCCCAUCUUAGAGCCUAAAACAAGAUAUAACUGCCUUGAUAUCAGCAGACUUUAGUUGAAAUAUUUAGAAAAAAAAAACAAUGCCUUUUGUUCUACUUAUCAUUUUGUUUUCUAAGAAAUCUCUGGCUUAGUGGAUAGAGGAUCAUAUUUCACCGACUCUAUCUGGAGGUAUUAAAGGGACACUCCACUGCCCAAAUAAAAUUACUGUUUGGUAGAUAUACACCAAAUGACAGUGUGACUUUUUCCACUGGGGAUAUACCUAAAAACAGCUUGCAAAACCUGCAGUUCUCUUGUCUGCAGCCUUUGCCAGCCCUCCAUUUUUCCCUGGCCCAGACUUUCUGUGGCUGCCCAAUCACAGAUUUCCCAAUGCAGCUCAAUGAGAAGUCUUUACAAUGCAGGUGUUGUGAGCAAUUGCCUGCUAACUGAGUUUAGCUACACUGAGCUAACCAAAC
Molecule: non-coding RNA, 705 nt
Organism: Pelobates cultripes (western spadefoot toad)
Lineage: Eukaryota; Metazoa; Chordata; Amphibia; Anura; Pelobatidae
Source: the annotation of a GenBank genome assembly